CGAAGCGUUGCCGUGGAAGUUUAGUGAACCUUAUCACUUAGAGGAAGGAGAAGUCGUAACAAGGUUUCCGUAGGUGAACCUGCGGAAGGAUCAU
This 94-nucleotide ribosomal RNA is filed under the name Phalacroma rapa. Its description in RNAcentral is "partial small subunit ribosomal RNA". It matches the Rfam family "Eukaryotic small subunit ribosomal RNA", at positions 1736 to 1829 of the family's 1831-position model. The record is from RNAcentral. Lineage: Eukaryota; Dinophyceae; Dinophysales; Dinophysaceae.